Molecule: ribosomal RNA, 510 nt
Filed under: uncultured bacterium
Lineage: Bacteria
Description: partial 16S ribosomal RNA
Rfam family: Bacterial small subunit ribosomal RNA (bases 212-510)
Source: RNAcentral
GAUUGAACGUUGCAAUUGUUGUUCACGAACGAGGAAUUCCUAGUAGGCGCGGGUCAUCAACCCGCGCCGAUUACGUCCCUGCCCUUUGUACACACCGCCCGUCGCUCCUACCGAUCGAACGGUCCGGUGAGGACCCAGGACGGCGCGGGGACCCGAGGGGCCGAAAGGCUCCGCGACCCGUGUCGGAAUCCGUCCGAACCUUACCGUUUAGAGGAAGAAGAAGCAUUCUGGCUCAGAACGAACGCUGGCGGCGCGUCUUAAACAUGCAAGUCGAACGAUCUGUAGCAAUACAGGGAGUGGCGGACGGGUGAGGAACACGUAGGAAUCUACCUAGAAGAGCGGGACAACUUUGGGAAACCGGGGCUAAUACCGCAUAGUACAGAGAUGUUAAAGGGCUAGCAAUAGUCGCUUCUAGAUGAGCCUGCGGUCUAUCAGCUUGUUGGUGAGGUAAUGGCUCACCAAGGCAACGACGGAUAGCCGGUCUGAGAGGAUGAUCGGCCACACUGGCAC